This 142-nucleotide small nucleolar RNA is filed under the name Drosophila persimilis. RNAcentral's name for it is "snoRNA:GL27932". RNAcentral also lists the same sequence under 1 other name. The record is from RNAcentral. Lineage: Eukaryota; Metazoa; Arthropoda; Insecta; Diptera; Drosophilidae.
ACGUCCAUUUUCAAAAUUACUGCUGCGUUCUGUCACCCACAACGCUGGCUGUGCCAAAAGUGGACCACAGGAAAACCCAGUGACCUGUGUUCGAAGUUAAAUCCCUUCAAUGGAUCGCACUUCCUGUUAUGGUUGCACAUUU